CAGUCGCCGCGGGAAUACAGAGGGUGCAAGCGUUAAUCGGAAUUACUGGGCGUAAAGCGCGCGUAGGUGGUUCGCCAAGUUGGAUGUGAAAUCCCCGGGCUCAACCUGGGAACUGCAUCCAAAACUGGCGAGCUAGAGUAUGGUAGAGGGUGGUGGAAUUUCCUGUGUAGCGGUGAAAUGCGUAGAUAUAGGAAGGAACAUCAGUGGCGAAGGCGACCACCUGGACUGAUACUGACACUGAGGUGCGAAAGCGUGGGGAGCAAACAGGAUUAGAUACCCGCGUAGUCCCUGUCUCUUAUAA
Molecule: ribosomal RNA, 301 nt
Filed under: uncultured bacterium
Lineage: Bacteria
Description: partial 16S ribosomal RNA
Rfam family: Bacterial small subunit ribosomal RNA
Source: RNAcentral